Molecule: ribosomal RNA, 292 nt
Filed under: uncultured eukaryote
Lineage: Eukaryota
Description: partial 18S ribosomal RNA
Rfam family: Eukaryotic small subunit ribosomal RNA
Source: RNAcentral
GGUUGAUCCUGCCAGUAGUCAUAUGCUUGUCUCAAAGAUUAAGCCAUGCAUGUCUAAGUAUAAGCUUUUAUACGGUGAAACUGCGAAUGGCUCAUUAAAACAGUUAUAGUUUAUUUGAUGGUCUUUGUUACAUGGAUAACCAUGGUAAUUCUAUGGCUAAUACAUGCGCAGUGGCCGCCUUCUUUGGAGGGGCUGUGUUUAUUAGAUACAAAACCAACCCACACCUGGUGUGGAGCCUUGGUGAUUCAUAGUAACCGAACGGAUCGCAGUUGGCUUCGGCCCGCGAUGGAUC